Molecule: long non-coding RNA, 898 nt
Organism: Humulus lupulus (European hop)
Lineage: Eukaryota; Viridiplantae; Streptophyta; Magnoliopsida; Rosales; Cannabaceae
Exons: 4
Source: RefSeq, a predicted model, not a curated record
UUACAGCUUGCCUGUAGCUACAUUUUGAUCUCUGUUUCAGGCUCCUGUUAGUGGUAUUUUUUAUGCUCUGCAACUAGUUUUGUUUUAUGUUUUUAUGCUCUACAUUUUGAUCACAUGCUUUUAACCUUUGAAAAAUGGCACUACUAAAUUUCUUUUUAUUUAAGUCUUUUAACUCUAAGGCUAAAAUGGUAGCUACAAAGGGGAUACCUCCCAAAGACUAGGAGCCUAAGACAAUUGGCAUCUAAUUAUGUAUCUGAGCUCUAUUUAUAUGAUCUUGUUUACUUUCUGACCUUAAAUUCAACCUAAUUGUUUCUAGAUCUUAAUCUACAUGCUCCUUUCAUUAUUUACCCCUUUUCAUGUGUUUUGCAGAAGGAGAAAUUGAUUAUGUGAGGGUUUUGAAUGGAGCCCUUCCAAAUGAUAUGGGAGUUUUAGGCUGGUGUUCUGUUCCAAUUGAUUUCAGUGCAAGGUUUAGCUAUCUGAGCAGGGAGUACAAAUAUUUCUUUUGGGAAGACAAUCUAAAUCUCUAGGCAAUGGAAAGCUCUGGUGAGAAAUUUAUAGGUGAACAUGACUUCCGAAUUUUCUGUAAGAUGGAUGCACUAAAUGUGCACACCUGCAUGUGUCGUGACAAGUCAUUUGAAAUUGCUCCUUGUGAUGUGAGGUUAACACUGCUAAGCAAAUCAACCUCACAACAAAGACAAGUGCACAAUGGAAUGGAUGAUGAAUUGGAGGGUGGAGCAAGCUUCAUGGUUUACUUUUUGUGUAUCUUGUUAUGAUUCUGUUUUUUACUUUUGAAGCAAAAGAUGUGAAGACUAUAGAAUUUUAUUAUGUAUGCUUUCAAACUCAAGUUAGAACUAAGAACUUUUGAAGUGGACAGCGUCAUCAUGGUUUGAAGUAGUUU